Molecule: long non-coding RNA, 442 nt
Filed under: Gossypium barbadense (sea-island cotton)
Lineage: Eukaryota; Viridiplantae; Streptophyta; Magnoliopsida; Malvales; Malvaceae
Description: long non-coding RNA (GBAR_LNC015415)
Source: RNAcentral
AAAAUUCACAUUAAUAAAAGCUUCACCAAUAGUCAAAUCUAAGCAAAAGACUAGCACCCAUUAAAAAUAAAGUUAACAUCGGAAGAUGAAAAUGGUUCAACAAAAAUACAAAACUAAACCACUAAUACUUCAAACCAAAAAGUAUUCAUCAAACAACAGAAAAUUCUAAGAGCUCUAAAUACGAUUAAACUACUUAGAUCUUUGUCUCAUCUUUCUUCUCUUCCUCUUCAACCUCCUCGUACGCUUCUUCUUCCACUGAAAUAACCCAAAUCAACAUUUCAAUCUAGCACAAUAAGAAAAUAACAGCUCAAAAUUUUGAAGCAUAUACCUUGGCUCUCAUGGUUAAAAGGCUUCCGAAUUCGUAUCCUUGUGCAGUUCAAUCUCUCAGGUUUGAUGUUCUUCUACAGAGACUGCGGCGAGGCCGGGUGUAGGCCAAAAUUCU